RNAcentral lists this ribosomal RNA (496 nucleotides) under uncultured bacterium. Its description in RNAcentral is "partial 16S ribosomal RNA". It matches the Rfam family "Bacterial small subunit ribosomal RNA", at positions 28 to 507 of the family's 1533-position model. The record is from RNAcentral.
GAUGAACGCUGGCGGCGUGCCUAAUACAUGCAAGUCGAGCGAACAGACGAGGAGCUUGCUCCUCUGACGUUAGCGGCGGACGGGUGAGUAACACGUGGAUAACCUACCUAUAAGACUGGGAUAGCUUCGGGAAACCGGAGCUAAUACCGGAUAAUAUAUUGAACCGCAUGGUUCAAUAGUGAAAGACGGUUUGCUGGCACGUAUAGAUGGAUCCGCGCCGCAUUAGCUAGUUGGUAAGGUAACGGCUUACCAAGGCAACGAUGCGUAGCCGACCUGAGAGGGUGAUCGGCCGCACUGGAACUGAGACACGCUCCAGACUCCUACGGGAGGCAGCAGUAGGGAAUCUUCCGCAAUGGGCGAAAGCCUGACGGAGCAACGCCGCGUGAGUGAUGAAGGUCUUCGGAUCGUAAAACUCUGUUAUUAGGGAAGAACAAAUGUGUAAGUAACUAUGCACGUCUUGACGGUACCUAAUCAGAAAGCCACGGCUAACUACGUG